Pygoscelis adeliae (Adelie penguin) is the source of this 306-nucleotide long non-coding RNA. RefSeq lists it as uncharacterized. The record is from RefSeq and is a predicted model, not a curated record. NCBI's taxonomy places the organism in Eukaryota, Metazoa, Chordata, Aves, Sphenisciformes, Spheniscidae. The transcript is spliced from 2 exons.
UAUGUGCACUUUCUUCCAGGAUUUGAAAUUCCUGAUGGAGAUGCAGAAAAGCUAAUGUGUCCACAAGAGAUUGUAGAUUACAUUGCAGAUAAGAAGGAUGUUUAUGAAUAAAAACAGUUCUUCAAAGCCGGGAGAUGUCUCUACCACCAGGACUGGGCUGGUGUCAGUGGGUAUGAAUAUAAGCGCACAUGCUGUACCGUUGCUGCUUUCAUCGGAAAGUUGUACUUGGACGUUGUAUUUAAAGCUGUCUGAAUAUGUUGUCCUUCAAAAACAAGAAAAAAAAGGAAUAAAUAUAUAAGACCACGU